This 695-nucleotide ribosomal RNA is filed under the name uncultured organism. Its description in RNAcentral is "bacterial SSU rRNA". It matches the Rfam family "Bacterial small subunit ribosomal RNA", at positions 619 to 1319 of the family's 1533-position model. The record is from RNAcentral.
AAUUGCCAUUGAUACUGCUAUUCUUGAGUGCAGUCGAAGCGAGCGGAAUGUGUAGUGUAGCGGUGAAAUGCAUAGAUAUUACACAGAACACCGAUAGCGUAAGCAGCUCGCUAGGCUGUUACUGACGCUGAGGCACGAAAGCGUGGGUAUCGAACAGGAUUAGAUACCCUGGUAGUUCACGCUGUAAACGAUGAUCACUAGUUGUUGGCGAUAUAUUGUCAGCGACUGAGCGAAAGCGUUAAGUGAUCCACCUGGGAAGUACGUCCGCAAGGAUGAAACUCAAAGGAAUUGACGGGGGCUCGCACAACCGGUGGAACACGUGGUUCAAUUUGAUGCUACGCGAGGAACCUUACCUGGGCUUAAAUGCGGAACGACUCUUUGAGAAAUCGAAGUUCCCUUCGGGGCGUUUUACAAGGUGCUGCACGGCUGUCGUCAGCUCGUGCCAUGAGGUGUCGGGUUAAGUCCCUUAACGAGCGCAACCCCUAUUGUUAGUUGCCAGCGGGUAAUUCCGGGGACUCUAGCAAAACUGCCAGUGUAAGCUGGAGGAAGGUGGGGAUGACGUCAAGUCAGCAUGGCCCUUAUGUCCAGGGCUACACACGUGUUACAAUGGCCGGUACAAAGGGCAGCUACCACGCGAGUGGAUGCUAAUCUCUAAAGCCGGUCUUAGUUCGGAUCGGAGUCUGCAAUUCGACUUC